CUCAGGAUGAACGCUAGCGGCAGGCUUAACACAUGCAAGUCGAGGGGUAUAAGUCUUCGGAUUUAGAGACCGGCGCACGGGUGCGUAACGCGUAUGCAAUCUACCUUUUACAGAGGGAUAGCCCAGAGAAAUUUGGAUUAAUACCUCAUAGUAUAGCAGCUUCGCAUGAAGCCACUAUUAAAGUCACAACGGUAAAAGAUGAGCAUGCGUCCCAUUAGCUAGUUGGUAAGGUAACGGCUUACCAAGGCUACGAUGGGUAGGGGUCCUGAGAGGGAGAUCCCCCACACUGGUACUGAGACACGGACCAGACUCCUACGGGAGGCAGCAGUGAGGAAUAUUGGACAAUGGGCGCAAGCCUGAUCCAGCCAUGCCGCGUGCAGGAUGACGGUCCUAUGGAUUGUAAACUGCUUUUAUACGAGAAGAAACA
RNAcentral lists this ribosomal RNA (427 nucleotides) under Flavobacteriaceae bacterium JJ-2232. RNAcentral describes it as "bacterial SSU rRNA". It matches the Rfam family "Bacterial small subunit ribosomal RNA", at positions 23 to 452 of the family's 1533-position model. The record is from RNAcentral. Lineage: Bacteria; Pseudomonadati; Bacteroidota; Flavobacteriia; Flavobacteriales; Flavobacteriaceae. RNAcentral also lists the same sequence under 1 other name.